AUGAUCAUCCUCAUGGAAUGGUGGCUUUGGAAGGCCCGAAAUGCUUGUGUCUUUGAUGCCGAUCAACCAUUGGUCUCUCGGCUUACCAUGACCAUUGGAGAUGAAGCAAAGUCCUGGGCGGCCGCCGGAGCUCAUGGGCUAGAUGCAUUGCUGCCUUAG
RNAcentral lists this ribosomal RNA (159 nucleotides) under Triticum aestivum (bread wheat). Its description in RNAcentral is "partial small subunit ribosomal RNA". Lineage: Eukaryota; Viridiplantae; Streptophyta; Magnoliopsida; Poales; Poaceae. The record is from RNAcentral.